This 73-nucleotide transfer RNA is filed under the name [Phormidium ambiguum] IAM M-71. Its description in RNAcentral is "Phormidium ambiguum IAM M-71 tRNA". It matches the Rfam family "tRNA". From Rfam's summary of the family: Transfer RNA (tRNA) molecules are approximately 80 nucleotides in length. The record is from Rfam by way of RNAcentral. Lineage: Bacteria; Bacillati; Cyanobacteriota; Cyanophyceae; Aerosakkonematales; Aerosakkonemataceae.
GAGAGCGUGGUGUAACGGGAUAACAUCUCAGCCUAAGAAACUGAAGAAGAAGGUUCAAAUCCCUCUGUUCUCG